CGCGUAGGGCGCGAGCGUUGUCCGGAAUUAUUGGGCGUAAAGAGCUCGUAGGCGGCCUGUUGCGUCCGCUGUGAAAGCCCGGGGCUUAACCCCGGGUCGGCAGUGGAUACGGGCAGGCUAGAGGUAGGUAGGGGAGAAUGGAAUUCCCGGUGUAGCGGUGAAAUGCGCAGAUAUCGGGAGGAACACCGGUGGCGAAGGCGGUUCUCUGGGCCGAUACUGACGCUGAGGAGCGAAAGCGUGGGGAGCGAACAGG
This 253-nucleotide ribosomal RNA is filed under the name uncultured bacterium. RNAcentral's name for it is "partial 16S ribosomal RNA". It matches the Rfam family "Bacterial small subunit ribosomal RNA", at positions 524 to 776 of the family's 1533-position model. The record is from RNAcentral.